This 312-nucleotide long non-coding RNA is filed under the name Equus caballus (horse). Its description in RNAcentral is "lncRNA (ENSECAG00000049354.1)". Lineage: Eukaryota; Metazoa; Chordata; Mammalia; Perissodactyla; Equidae. The record is from RNAcentral.
CUCUCCUCGCGACAGACGGUAAGCCAGACUCGGUUUUCUCCACAAGAUCAUCAACACAUUUGGCCCGUUACCCGUUCCUGCAAGGGGCGCGUGCCCGUUAUCGCUGUCAGCGCCAGGAUAACCCCAAACCCCAAAUUUUCUCUUUGCUCUCGAGCUCCACCUGGGAAGCAGCGCCUCCUCCGGGAAGCCUUCCUGAGCCUCCCAGCUCAGCCUUGGCCAUGCCGUGACCUUAGCAGAACGUGCUCUGUGCAGUGAGGUCUGUAACUUCAGCGCUGCCUGUGACCGGGGAGGACUUGUCAUCCACUACCUCAG